RNAcentral lists this ribosomal RNA (445 nucleotides) under uncultured bacterium. RNAcentral's name for it is "SSU rRNA". It matches the Rfam family "Bacterial small subunit ribosomal RNA", at positions 26 to 518 of the family's 1533-position model. The record is from RNAcentral.
AGAACGAACGCUGGCGGCACGCCUAACACAUGCAAGUCGAGCGCCCAGCAAUGGGAGCGGCGGACGGGUGAGUAACACGUGGGAACAUGCCUUUCGGUACGGAACAACUGCGGGAAACUGCAGCUAAUGCCGUAUACGCCCUUACGGGGAAAGAUUUAUCGCCGAAAGAUUGGCCCGCGUCUGAUUAGCUAGUUGGUGAGGUAACGGCUCACCAAGGCUUCGAUCAGUAGCUGGUUUGAGAGAACGACCAGCCACAUUGGGACUGAGACACGGCCCAAACUCCUACGGGAGGCAGCAGUGGGGAAUCUUGGACAAUGGGGGAAACCCUGAUCCAGCGAUGCCGCGUGAGUGAUGAAGGCCCUAGGGUUGUAAAGCUCUUUUGUGCGGGAAGAUAAUGACGGUACCGCAAGAAUAACGCCCCGGCUAACUUCGUGCCAGCAGCCGC